RNAcentral lists this small RNA (76 nucleotides) under Sinorhizobium meliloti 2011. RNAcentral describes it as "putative ncRNA". Lineage: Bacteria; Pseudomonadati; Pseudomonadota; Alphaproteobacteria; Hyphomicrobiales; Rhizobiaceae. The record is from RNAcentral.
AAGCCGCUCGAGAUUCGAGAAACUGCCCGUGUAACCGCGCUGUUUGAGAUCGUGGAACAGAUGCUGUCCGCAACGA